UUCGUGCAGCCCCAGGGGCUUGGACUCCCUCUUGGCCCUGUGGCGUCUGAUUUGGGGACAGGAAAUCCAAAACUAACAGUUGGAGGUUGAUGCACUCGGUGAUGCAAUGGAAAGUCCAAAGUCACCUUGAUAUCCAUGUGUCCUUUGUCCACGGUUCAAUCGUCACUAUGAGCGCCACUUCUGAGAAGAAGUUUUAACCCACCAGCAUCAAUAAGCCACCAACCCAGGGAGGAGGCCAUCUUCCUCUCUCAUAUAUGCACACACAUCACUUACGGGUCAGACUGUUUCAGGGUACAGCCAGGGAUCGCUCUGGAAAUGGGACUACAAUGGUGGUUCUUUCUUUCAAUGGUGGCUCUCCUCUCUCUCUCCCCCCAUCUUUCUGUCUUAUUAUUUGUGUGUAUGAAGGGGUACCAUACCAAGAGCUUUCCUCAGUGAAGGGAUUUUAAUUAUUUGAAUAAAUGUAACUUGAAGCUUAUGCAUUAAAUAAACCAAGGAAAAGGUCAUCUUUCAGGGCUCAUAGGUUGUGCUUGCAGCAGCCACUUGCCUGAUGCCCAGCCAGUACAGGGACUAUUUUUGGUGUUGUGAAUGUCUGUGGCCAGUAUCUAGCUCUGGAUCAGACCUGCAGAGGUGACAAGGACACUCUUCAAGAAUGUGUGUGAAGGAGUUAGGGGAUGUUAAGGCUGUGUCUAGAUGUCCCCCCACCCCACCCCCAGAGCCUCAUGCAGUCACAGGUAGGGCU
Molecule: long non-coding RNA, 739 nt
Organism: Fukomys damarensis (Damara mole-rat)
Lineage: Eukaryota; Metazoa; Chordata; Mammalia; Rodentia; Bathyergidae
Exons: 3
Source: RefSeq, a predicted model, not a curated record